Molecule: long non-coding RNA, 1226 nt
Filed under: Homo sapiens (human)
Lineage: Eukaryota; Metazoa; Chordata; Mammalia; Primates; Hominidae
Description: HSALNT0080824
Source: RNAcentral
CUGGAGGCUGAGGAGCCCCAGGUUGAGGGGCUUCAUCUGGUGAGAGCCUUCUUGCUGGUGGAGACUCUGAAGAGUCCCGAAGUGGUGUGGGGAAACAUAUGGUUUGUUUUUUAUCAGUGUGUUGUACAGAGCGAAUGGCCUCGGACCUUCAAUGGCUGUGCACUGCUUUCUCAGGACUUUCCCUCAAAGGGAAGAACUGACCCUUAUCUCUUUCCCUUUUCUCCACCAUUAGAGCUCAGAGAUCCCAAGAGGCAAAGCGGGGAAAGUUUUAGAAAUCAUUUCACUCUGGAAAGCUUUCAGAUCACAGAUUCCUGCUCAUAAGUGGAUAAAUCUUUUCCCCAAUUUCAUUUGUCUCAGGAUGCAGUAAAAUUGAACAAACACAGCUCGUCCUACAUUCUGAAGAUGGGGCACAUUUAUCAGAAGAGAAAAACUGCCAGAGAGAAUUCACAUCAGUGCAGACCGAGAGUCUCAGAUGGCUAAGAGAUGUGCCUGACAACUUUUCAGAAAUAAGACUAUUAAAAGAAGGUCAGCUUGGAGUCUUACUGCGAAGAAUUAUAAACAGGCACGUGGAUUAUAAAUAGGGAGUUGGCAUGGUGGUUAAAUUUUUCUAAAACAGUCAUAUUAAUGUGUUCAAAAAUCCACUGCUGAGUCUCAGAGAGAGGGUCACAUCUGGCCAUGAAAAUCUUCUUCUCUGCGGGGUUGCAAUCCAUGCAGCUGUUGCUCACAGGAUGGAAUAAUGUUCUGUCCUGGAGGAGUGAGGAAGAAAAGAAAAGACUGUUGUAAUACGUGGUGAAUGGUUACAACCCAAAAUAUACAGAAGUAAGAUAUUUCUGUUUAUAUUUCAGUAUAUAUUUAUUGUGUAAAUAGAACAGCUCCCAAAUCAAACAAUAGCAGGUGGAGUUGCCCAUGUGGAAUGUGAAUUUGUAGGCUGUAUUGGCACUAUGUAGGGCCUACAAGCAGGUUCAAUUAGAGACAAUAAAUGUAUUUAUUCAUUCAAUCAUCCACUUCUUUUAAAAAAGCAAUCCAUUCAUUUUCUGCUCUGUGGUGAGCUUUUUGCUAUCUGCUUAAAUUUUGAAAAUAGUAAGUAUAUGGGGUUGCUUGGCAAGUAACCAAUAAUGUAGCUAUCUGGGAAGAAACACAUACACAAAAAAUUGUAUUUUAGUCCGCAGUAAAUAAUACCCCCUGCUCACACGCACACACAAUGACUAGAAGAGUCAUAAUUCCCU